RNAcentral lists this long non-coding RNA (30348 nucleotides) under Malus domestica (apple). RNAcentral's name for it is "long non-coding RNA (MDOM_LNC003569)". Lineage: Eukaryota; Viridiplantae; Streptophyta; Magnoliopsida; Rosales; Rosaceae. The record is from RNAcentral.
CGAUCUACAACUAAAACGAUAUGUAUAGAACAGGCUACAAACAAAGGUGUCAUCUAGGUGUAUCUAAAACCAGACUCAAAAACAGAAGGGGGAGGAGGAGGAGGGGGAGGAAGGGAAGGGAGGGUAAGUCCUAACUAGAGGCGACUGUGCAAUUACAAUUUUUGAACAAUGCUUCAUCCGUCUUUAAUUUUUGGCAGACCCGAUAACAUUUCAAUCCUUCGUUACAGAUUGGUUGACCUCUGAUGUAUUUAUCUUUCUGGCUUGGCGAAGGCACGGAUCCUCCUACUUUCAACUCCCCACUUUGUUGUUGCUGCUGCUGUUGCUGUUGCGGAUGCUGGUGAUGUAUUAUCUUUCUGUAUGUUUAUUGCCCUGUCACUGUCUUUUCCAAUUGAUGGUGUUCAUGUUACAUUGCCAUUCAUGAUGAUGAUUUAAUUGUUUCUCGAUUUGCAAUAAGGGGGAUAACUAGUGGCAAGUCACAAUCAUGCAUCCCUUCCAGAAGCAAGGAAGACUCACAGAAGCAUUUCAGCCUCCCAUGGCCACAAGUCUGGCUUCCACACUAGCAGCAAGUUUCGAACCCAUGACCUUUAGCUUUUAGUUUGAAGGAAUUCGAGCUCAAAUUUUGUGAGCACUACAUUGGAUUGUAUGGCACUUGGUUAGAUGUUAUUUUGGUCGACAAUGCAAAGAUUGGAGAAACAAAGAGGAGGGCACAUAUAACUGCCCCUUCCCAUUGACCUUCUCAAAUUUGGAUCACUUAAGCAUUGGAUUGUAUUCAUUCUUCAUGUUAACUUUGUUCUGCAGGCUUCCUUCCUAUGGAUAACUUAAGCAUUUAAGUUAUUCAUUUUUUUUAAAGAUAUUUAUGUUGGUUAUUUUAAUUAUUUUAAUAAUAUUUUAUUUUUAAAGAUUCAAAAUUUAUUAUUAUUUUAUUUUAUUUAUUUAUAAUAUUUAAGAGUUGUGUUUUAUUUGAAGUGUCAUAUUCCUUUUAAAAGGGUAUGAGAAGUUCUUUAAAUAAGAAACCUCAGACAGAAAACAUAAUACGCUAAACUUUUCUGUCUUCCUCAAUUCUCACAUCUCUCUCAGUCUAUGUACAUUUCUACUUCAUAAUUCUUGGGCAAUUGAUCACUACUUGGCAAUCUCGUUUGCCGUUGACGUGCAUAUCGGAUCAGCGUCUGCCGUUGACGUGCAUAUCGGAUCAGACAUCCUGUGAGGCUUUGGGUUGUAUCUUGAAGUUGUAGGCAUCGCCAUAACCUGCACGUAAUGAGGCGUCUACGGCUUUAGGGCAACGACAUCCGGCUCUCUUUGGUUCACAGGCCAGAUUUUCUUAUUCCUUAUUCCUAAUUUAAUUUUCAUAAGUUUGAUAAUGAUUAUACAUUUGAUUUGAUAUAUUUGAUCAUAUAAAUAAUUGGUAUAUUUCUGCAAUAUAUUUCACAAUUUAGCUAUUUAAGUCAUUCUUUUUUUGCCUGAACCAGAUUUCAAAUUCGAAUUCUGAUACCUAUUAUACAUGGCCCCAUAUGGUGUGAAGAGAAUGAGCAUAUAUGCAAGUCCUCCUCUUGUGGACCCGUAAAGGAUGGAAGCUUGUGCGAGUUGUUGCUAUAAAAUGGGAAGCCCUACUGCUUAGUCACCACCCAUCUUCUCCAAGAGAAAAGAAGAGAAAAAAAACAAGAGCCAGUAAGGCUCCCCACGCAUCAUUCUUUUUUUAGUAACAUUAAUAUUUGCAUUUGGUUGUCUUUACCAAGUAAUUCAGAGACAUGGGAUCGGAGAGCUCUCAGCCGUCUUCUCCUCCUCCUCCUCCUCCUCCUCCUCCUCAUCCUCCUCCUCCUCCUCCUCAACCACGUGGAGGUAAAGAACCAGCCAUAGACUAUCAGGUGGAUAUUAAUUCGACAUCGAUGCUCUACACAGUAAAAGGCUUCCCAUAGGCAAAUGGUGAAGUGGUUCAUACAUAGGACAUCUUAUAUAUCGCGGUCUGCUGUCAACUAAUAACAUCAAUAUUAUUAUUAUGUAUAACAAUUAAGCUCUUCCAUUAAAGUUCUAUAUAUGUACUUCCAGAAUCGAGAGCUUUGUUAUGUCUGUCCCCUAGCAGACCUGGUAUGUAUUUGUAAUUUUAGUGAAUUUUAAUUUUAUUGUGUGUAUAUAUAUAUUGAGCUCUUAAGAAGAUGAAAAAUCGAUAACUCACUAGAUUUACUGUAUUAUUGAAACAAGAAAUAACCGUCAACUUUAAAAUCUUGCAUGGAGAGAGAGUACCGGCUGUCGCGUGUGCGUUUCAGCGUUUACUCGUGUAUUUUGGUUUCCGAUCUUGCCCCUACCCAUCUCUCUCCAGUCUCCACCAAGCUUUUUGCCAUUUUCAAUUCAUUUUUUUUCUUCAUGCAAACUAAAGCCAAUAUUUACAGUAACUAUUUUACGCUUGCUCAGGAGUUGGUAAGUUGCACCGGGAAUAGAAUACAACUCGUUUGAUAAUUAUUUUAAAGCAAGGCUCAUUUAGUAAUUAUUUUGUUUUAGGUUUUAGUUAUAAACUUUUACUUUUCGUGCUUAAGAAAUAAAAUGUGUAUUGAUGAAAAAGGGUGGUGAGAGCAACGGUGGGAAGAGAUAUAUAUAAAAAAAAAGAAUGAAUAAAAACAAAUUCAAGAUUUUGUAAAGAACUUAAAAAUAGUUUUUUAUUUUUUGUUUCAGUUUUCAAUUUCUUCACCUUUUCUUAUAUAUUUUUUUUCUACGUCUACCAUCACCAUCCUUCCUCAAGUUUGGUGCCUACAAUCGAAGAUUUGCAGUCUUAUAAAUAUUCUUUUUCACGGCUAAUUCAUCUUUUACCCUUAAUAUUUACGAAAUUUAAAAUUAUCCUAUAUUUCUGCAAUUAAAAUUUAAAAAUUAUCCAAUACAAUCCAAUCUUGAGUACAAAAACGAUUAUGCGUUUCAUUGACAAAGUCCAUUUGACGUCAGGUGAAAUCAUGAUGCUAUAUUGUGUGGGGGUUUUUUAUCACUCUCAAUUGCAUCGUAAUUGAGUGGCAGGCAAUAUCGUUUUGGGAUUAUAAGGAAUAUAUGCUGCAAGGAGUUGACGUGACAAGCAAGCAAUUUAGUGAGUGGUGCUAAAUCAUCAAGAAUAAAAGUUAACAGACUUAAGUAUAGUUUGGCAUUGAGUUGCUUAAAAAAAAAGCUGCUUAUUUUCAAAGUUUUUACGUUGAAGGUGUUUGGUAAACUAUAAAAAAAAAAUUAUUUUAGAAGUUGUUGUGAGAAUAAGCUAAAAUCUUCAAAAAGGCUGAAGCAGCUAAAUGCUGCAUUGGAAAACUGAUUUUUUUUCAAAGCGCGUGGAGCUACAGUGCUUUUAAAGUUCAAUAACAUCCUCAAACCAGAAAUGGUGCUCCUUUGCCGAUCUCCACAAAACCCAGAAACCCACCAGAAACAACUUUGCUGAUCUGCACAAGAAAUGGAAACACACCCAGAAACCCACCAGACUACCAUAGCCAAAACCAGAAACGAUUUUCCUUUGCCGAUCUGUGUGCUAAACUAGCCUUAACUUUCUAGGACAUUGGAUACAAACAUCAAAACCCAAAAGCCAAAAAUUGAAUAAAUAUCAGCUUUAAGAUUUCACCGCCAUCAAUUCUAUAAUUUGAUUAAACACAAUUCCAGAAAAAUAAACAAUCUGAGCCACUAAAAGCUUGAAACUUUAUCGAUUUUGGAAAGUCGAAAAGAAAUCGUGGGCAAUUUGGGUUAAAAACUAAAUACCUCUGGUUCUCCGAAGGUCCGGACUGAAACUAUGGCCAUUGGGCGUCGGUGAAGAGAGACGGAGAAAGGGAGGGACUACAGAGAGGAGUGUUUUCUGUUGUCGAGGAUUACAGACAGGAAUUAGGAAGGAAGGUGGUGGGAGGAAGAAGGGUUUAGAGUUAAAAUGGGUUUUGAUGCCACUUAACAAAGGUGUUUUCUUAAUUAUUGAUUUAUUAAAUAAUAAACUAAAUUUAAAAAUCUGAUUAAUUCAAAUGAUAUGGCUGUCCACAUCAUAUGCCACCUAAGGUGGUAUAGAAAUGUGGUAUAAAAACAUGGUAUGAAUAGCAUUACUCAAAAAAAAUAGGAGACUUCUAGAGAGACUAUUAAUAAAUAAAAGACAUGGAUUAUUAAUAAAUGAAGAUGGAUAAAAGGAAGAUAGGGCUGGUUUAUUAUUUUACAUUUAACAUUAUACUCAUUUUAUAGUUUUUUUGUCAUUUCACACAGUCACAACUGUUUUAUAUAAAAGUUUACCAAACACUACCAUACUGCUUUUUUUUUUCCAAAAGAACUUUUACAAAAAAAAAUUUACCAAACACUCUGCUACUUUAUUUCACAGCAGCUUAUUCUCAUAGCACAGCAGAAACAACUUAUUCUCAUAACACAGCAGAAACAGCUUAUUAUCAUAGCACAACAGAACAGUUGUUUUUCAAAGCACAGCAGAAACAAUUUUUUUUAAAGCACAGCAAUAUCAAACCAGCCCUGAGAGACUAAUCCCAAAAACACAUUUAAUUUUCAGAUAACAAAUUUUCAUAAUCUAAAUCCACCAUAAUUACCAGUAACAAAACACAAAUCACAAGGUGCUACAACCAUACGGUACUCGACAGAAAAUUAACCCCAUCAUUCGAUCUACAACUAAAACGAUAUGUACAGAACAGGCUACAAACAAAGGUGUCAUCUAGGUGUAUCUAACCAGACUCAAAAACAGAAGGGGGAGGAGGAGGAGGGGGAGGAAGGGAAGGGAGGGUAAGUACCCUAACUGGAGGCGGCUGUGCAACUACAAUUAUUGAACAAUGCCUCACAUCCGUCUUUAAUUUUUGGCAGACCCGAUAACAUUUCAAUCCUUCGUUACAGAUUGGUUGACCUCUGAUGUAUUAUCUUUCUUGUUAGAUGCAAUUAGCCAAGAUCAAGAUUUAAGCUACAUAAAACACAAUCAAGAAAGCAUAAAAUCUUUUGAAUAUGAACUGAUGUAUUCACACUAACAUGAUGAACCUCCAUUCGAAUAUGCCAUUGCAGCAGCUGUCCAAUUCUGUAUGCUGCAACUCUUCUCCUCUCUGGUAGAACUCUUAAUGCUCUAACUAAGAAUAGGACUUAGUUCUUUUCUGAGCGUGUCUAUGAGAGCAGAGAUCACAGCAUAUAUAUAAAUACAUAUACUUCUCCUAAACCAAUGAGGAUUUCCUAUUACAAUCCGAUUAGGAAACAACUCAUGUUUCCCAGUGUAUGUUGGUUCUUCUCCAUGACAGAUUCCUCUAUCAACAAGAACUCACAUUCAUCUUCCUAUAAGGCUUUCUUAUACUAAUUGGACCAAACAACUGACACUUGUUCACCGUAUACUCAUGUUCAUAUCUUUACAUUCUCCCACUUGAACAUGAGACAUGAACAAGCACAGUCUUUACCAAUUAUAAGAAGUGAUCACACAGCCUUAUUCAAGAUUUUAUCAUCAUGACCAACAUCCCAUUGCAUUUCAAAAUACAGAAACCAAGAAUCUCAGAUUACUAUCAAAACAAUCAUCGAUUCAAGACUCACAUGUAUCCAAUCUGCAAUUAUGACACAUGAUUAACAACACUAAUUCAGAACAUGCUCCCACUUUUCAAAAGAUCUCAAUCUAUAUCAAUCUUCAAUGAAAAACAGCAUUUCAUUAACUGAAUAAAAUUCAUGAAACAUAUAAACUUUUAAAACAAACAAAUUGUCCUUGCAAAGUACCAUAUGAAUCCAACAAGUCUAUUAUCAAAACCACAAUACUCCAAAACGGAAACUUUAGGUUUCGAAGCAAAGACUCUUAUUAAAACAUAAAACAAACUAACUAAACAUAACUAAGUAAGCUAGCUCAGACUAAAAUGUAAACAAGGUCCCAAAUUGAAUUACUCACAUAGCAGCAACCUUCAAACUUUCUGAAACAGAUCAAUUACUCCCACUGAUCUAGAGUUUCUAACACUCCCAUCCGAGAUACAUGUUUCUGAAACUCUCCAAUAGGCAGUGCUUUAGUCAGAGGAUCUGCCACCAUCAAAACAGUGCUGAUGUGCUGAACUUCAAUCAUCCCCUUCUUCACUUCCUCUCUUACUUUAAGAAAUUUUACAUCCAUUAACCUUGAGGCAGAAGUUCUUCUAUUAUUCUUGGCAAAGAACACAGCAGAAUUGUUAUCACAAAACAUCCUUACUGGUUUCUGAAUCGAUUUUACAAUUUUUAAAUCAGUCAGAAAAUUCUUCAACCACACAGCUUGUUUCAUCCCUUCAAAACAAGCUACGAACUCAGCCUCCAUAGUGGAUGUGGCUAUCACGGUUUGCUUAGCACUCUUCCAAGAAACUGCACCACCAUUUAACAUGAAGAUAUAGCCACCGGUCGAUUUUCUAUCAUCUAUAUCACCAGCCAAAUCAGAGUCAGUAUAUCCUUCAAGUUCCAAAGAUUCGCCAUUUCCAUAAACCAACAUGAAAUUCUUGGUUCUUUGUAAAUAUCUUAGAACCUUUUUGGCAGAUAUCCAAUGUGCUUCACCUGGAUUUGAUUGAAACCUUCCCAACAUUCCAGUUAUAAAAGCAAGGUCAGGCCGUGUACAUAUAGUUGCAUACAUGAGACUUCCCACCAGAGAAGCAUAAGGCUUACCCUGCAUUUUCUCUGUCUCCAAGUCAGUCCUCGGACACUGACUCUUGGAGAACUUAUCCCCUUUAUUAACUGGAACUUGUCCACAACUACAAUUCUCCAUAUUGAACCGGUGUAAUACUCUAUCAAUGUAACCCUUUUACGAUAAGCCAAGUAGUCGUUUCUGUCUAUUGCGUACAAUCUCAAUCCCCAACACAUAGUGUGCCUCUCCUAGAUCCUUCAUGUCAAAACUUUCACUGAGCAUCCUUUUAGUUCUUUGUAAUAACUGUGGACAAGAACUUGCUAGAAGAAUGUCGUCAACGUAAAGUACCAAAAAGUCCUAGUAGGAUGUCAUGUAGCUGAUCCAUUUCUUCAAAAAUGAAAUUUUCCCGCGACAGAUCUGUAACAUCUUGAUCCUCUAAGAAUACUGCAUUAUGUGUUUCUUGGAUCCGAGUGUGAUGUUGAGGAAUAUAGAAUCUGUAGCCCUUUGACUUUUCAGGAUACCCAAUGAAGUAACAAGAUUGAGUCCUUGAAUCUAAUUUUCUUUCAUUAGGAUUAUAGAACCUUGCUUCUGAUUUGCAACCCCAAACGUGAAAGUAUUCAAAAUUAGGUGUUCUGCCAUGCCAUAACUCAAAAGGUGUUGAGAUAACAGAUUUGCUCGGUACUCUGUUCAAAAUAUGAUUUGCUGUCUUCAAGGCUUCUCCCCACAAGAAACCAGGCAAUUUGGAUCUUGACAUCAUACUUCUCACCAUACCUAUAAGAGUUCGAUUCCUUCGUUCCGAGACUCCAUUUUGUUGAGGUGUCCCCGGUGUUGUAUACUGAGCUACAAUGCCGUUUUGCUCUAAAUAUAGUGCAAAUGGUCCCUUUUGCUGUCCUGAUUCAGUGUACCUGCCAAAGUAUUCUCCUCCCCUAUCCGAUCUAACAAUUUUAAUAACUUUACCUAACUGUUUUUCAACCUCAGUUUUGUAAACAAUAAAGCAUUUAAGGGCAUCAGAUUUUUCUUUAAUCAGAAAAGUAUAUCCCAGUCUAGAGAAGUCAUCAAUAAAGUUAACAAAAUACUUGUUUCCACAUAUUGUUUUGACUGGAAAAGGACCACAGAUGUCAGUGUGUAUGAUUUCAAGUAACCCUUUGCUUCUUUUGGCAUCUAGUUUUCUAAAGUUGGUCAUUUUUCCUUUCAAACAAUCAACACAUUCUGUCACAGUGGCAGAAUCUAGUUUGGGAAUUAGUUCGGCUUUGCAAAGUUGAAGAAUCCUUUCUUUAGAGAUGUGCCCUAACCUCUUAUGCCAAAGAAUAUAAGAUGAAUCAUGUUCUAACAUUCUUUUUGAAUUGACAUUAAAAACGGACUGAUCAACAAACUCAACUAUACACUCUAGUCUCCAGAGAUUUUCAGACAAGAGGGCAAUGCCCAAAAUUUUAUGAAAACUGUUUUUCUUAAAAAUUUUCAAACAUACAUCAUCAGCAAAGAAUGCAUAACCAUCUUUUAUUAUUUUAGAAGCAGAGAGCAAGUUUCUUCUCAUUUUAGGCACAUAGAGCACAUCUUUUAGUUGUAACACAAAACCAGAAUUUAGUUUUAAGUUUACUACUCCAAUGGAAUGCACUGCAACCUUAGUCCCUUCCCCCACAUAGACAUGAUACAUAGUAUUUCCAAUCUCCUUUUGUUUUUGAAAACCUUUCAAAGAAUUAGUUAUGUGAACCGAGCAUCCAGUGUCAAACCACCAAGAAUCAACAGGUACUUCACAAAGAUUUGACUCAACACAGACAAGUACUUGUUCCUUUUCUUUGCUCUUCACAAAAUCUUUAAAAAUUUCACAAUCAACUUUUAAAUGCCCUUUAGUCUUGCACCAAAAACACUUAAGUUUAGACACAUCUUUAGGUUUAGCUUUAAAUUUGAUAGAUUUUCUAGGGGAGUCAUUUACUUUAGCAGCUAUAUUGAAUUUGUUAGAAUUCUUAGUGAAUUUAGAAUUCUUACCAGGACCUGAAGAGCUGCCUUUAUUGAAUGCUCUCUUCUCUCGUCCAGGUUGUACAUAAUUUGCUUCUUCGAUCUCCUUGCCUUUCUCUUGCUUUUGCCGAGUUUCCUCUUGCACACAUUGUGCAAUCAAUUCAUCUAUGCCCCAGUUCUUGUCCUGAGUGUUGUAAGAGACUUUUAACUGACUAUACUUGGUAGGGAGGGCUUGAAAAAUCAUGAACACAAGCUGCUUCUCUCCAAUGUUUAUUUCCAUGGAGUUUAGCUUCUCGGCAGCAUCUGACAUUUUCAUUAUAUGAUCCCUUAUUGAACCAGUAUCUUCAAUCUUGUAUUGAGUCAACACAGACAUAUACUGGCUUACUUCUGCCUUCUCGGACUCCUUGAAUUUCUUUUCGAUUGCAGCCAAAUAAUCCACAGCAAGCUCUGGUUUCUUAAUUCCUCCCCUGAUAGUGUCAGUCAUUCCAGCUUCUAUGAUGGAAAGUGCUACCUUAUUAGCUCUUGACCACCUCUCAAAAUCUGACUUCUCAGCUCUGGUGCUUUGAUCACUAAUUACAGGCUUGGGAUUUUCAAUUGCUAUAUCAAACUCAUUUAGAGUCAAUAGCAAGUUGAUAUCCCUCCUCCACUUCUUGUAAUUGCUACCACCAGUAAGGAUCGGAAUAUUUGCUAAAUUUAAGGUCUUCAUUGAUAUUGCAGACAUCGAUGAACCUGAAAUCACCAUAUGAACAUUCAAAGUUCUGAUUUCGUUUCACAGUCUAUUGCACAUCAAAGCUUUAUAACCAAUAUCCAUAUAUACAAUCUUAACAACAACCAGUUGAUAGGCGCAUAUAGGAUUAUUGAUUUCAGAAUAGUUCAUGAACUGAUCACGGUAUAUCAGAAUCAACCAUCACACUGAUUUGUUCUAUACAUCUCAGUUUAUGAUCUUAAUAGUGACAAUAAAUUUGCAUAAAUUUAACCAGAUACAAUCAUUUUAAGAAACUAAAUCAUAUGCUAAGAAUGACUGCUCUCAUGUUCAUAAAAAAUCAUUAUACAAAUCUCUAUGCAAGAUUCAUGAUAUUCAUUUUUCUAAUCUGAGUUUUGAAGAUCACAUACCUUUUAAAGAGACAACCAUCAAUACCUAGCAGCGGAAACAAUUUUGGACAGGUAUUGAACACUCAAUAACAAGAUUUGGAUUACUCGGAUUGCAAGUGAACGGGUCAAAAUAAGAGGGACGAGUUAAAGUCCUCUUUUGCAGAAGAACAAAACCCAGAAAAACCCCAAAAGAAAAACCGCGCCGAUUUCGAAUAUCAACAGUCAUAUUAAUCUGACCUGAUUUUAUCAAAAACGCACCGUUUAGGAAAAAUUGUUUUGAUAUUUAGAACCGGUUUCGAAACCCGAUAAUGGCGAUUUUCAUUGACCCGUGUUUGAUUGAUUUUAAGAACUUAAAUCUAAGCUCUGAUACCACAUGUUAGAUGCAAUUAGCCAAGAUCAAGAUUUAAGCUACAUAAAACACAAUCAAGAAAGCAUAAAAUCUUUUGAAUAUGAACUGAUGUAUUCACACUAACCUGAUGAACCUCCAUUCGAAUAUGCCAUUGCAGCAGCUGUCCAAUUCUGUAUGCUGCAACUCUUCUCCUCUCUGGUAGAACUCUUAAUGCUCUAACUAAGAAUAGGACUUAGUUCUUUUCUGAGCGUGUCUAUGAGAGCAGAGAUCACAGCAUAUAUAUAAAUACAUAUACUUCUCCUAAACCAAUGAGGAUUUCCUAUUACAAUCCGAUUAGGAAACAACUCAUGUUUCCCAGUGUAUGUUGGUUCUUCUCCAUGACAGAUUCCUCUAUCAACAAGAACUCACAUUCAUCUUCCUAUAAGGCUUUCUUAUACUAAUUGGACCAAACAACUGACACUUGUUCACCGUAUACUCAUGUUCAUAUCUUUACAUUUCUGGCUUGGCGGAGGCACGGAUUCUCCUAUUUUCAACUCCCCACUUUGUUGUUGCUGCUGCUGUUGCUGUUGCUGAUGAUGCUGCUGCAUCUGUUGCUGCUGGAGUUGAUGGAGCUGAUGCUGCUGAAACUGGUGCUGCUGCUUCUGAGAAUGAAUCUGGAGCUGUUGAAACUGCUGUGCAGUUAGAAGAGUGUGCAUUGCUUGAUUGUUUGGAUAGAACUGCUGCUGACCCGCCGCGCCAAAAGAAGCGUAGUUCAUCAUAGGUCCACCAUUUGGCAUAGCUUGGCCAGUCAUAACUUUCAGAUGCUGAAUUUCUUCUUUCAGUGCAUUGUUCAAUGCUACGAGACAAACAAAAACAAUAAUGUUUCGGCACAAUUUCAUUCACAUAAGGAUCAAGAACCAGAAGUUACACGGAAUCCGAUCAGCAAGAAAACCUAAAUUAUAGUAUUGUACUGAUACUACACAAACAAGAUGCUACAGUCUAAUUUGAGCAAAACUUCUACAUCGGAUGCUAACCAAUACAAUCCAAUCUUGGGCGCAAAAAACGAUUAUGCGUUUCUUUGACAAAGUCCAUUUGACGUCAGGUGAAAUCAUGAUGCUAUAUUGUGUGGGGGUUUUGAUCACUCUCGAUUGCAUCGUAAUUGAGUGGAAGGCAAUAUCGUUUCGGGAUUAUAAGGAAUAUAUGCUGCACGGAGUUGACGUGACCAGCAAACAAUUUAGUGAGUGGUGCUAAAUCAUCAAGAAUAAAAGUUGACAGACGAAGUACGGUUUGGCAUUGAGGUGCUUAAAAAACAAAAGGAAAAAUAAUGAAAAUGUCUUGAAAACUUUGAGUUUUAACGAUAAGGACAAAAUAAAGGGUAAAGUGAAUAAUACUAGGUUUGACUUUUUAGUGUAAAAAUGUGGUUUUUCGUUAAAGUGAACAGUACUGCAGGCUUUUCGUUAAAACUCCCUAAAAAAAAGCUGCUUAUUUUCAAAGUUUUUAUGUUGAAGGUGUUUGGUAAACUAAAUAAAAAGGGAUUAUUUUUGGACAAUGCUAUGAGAAUAAGCUGAAAUCAUCAGAAAAGCUGAAGCAGCUAAAUGCUGCUUUGGAAAACUGGCUUUUUUUUCAAAGCACGCAGAGCUACGGUGCUCCUUUAAUGAAACUUUCUAAAGUCCAAUAACACCCUCAAACCAGAAAUGGUGCUCCUUUGCCGGUCUCCACAAAACCUAGAAACCCACUAGAAACGACUUUGCCGAUCUGCACAAGAAAUGGAAACACAAAAACCCAAAAACCCACCAGACUACCACAGCCAAAACCAGAAACGGUUUUCCUUUGCCGAUCCGCGCGCUAAACUAGCCUUAACUUUCUAAGACAUUGGAUACAAACAUCAAAACCCAAAAGCCAAAAAUUGAAUAAAUAUCAGCUUUAAGAUUUCACCGCCAUCAAUUCUAUAAUUUGAUUAAACACAAUUCCAGAAAAAUAAACAAUUUGAGCCACUACAAGCCUGAAACUUUAUCGAUUUUGGAAAAGUCGAAAAGAAAUCAUGGGCAAUUUGGGUUAAAAGCUAAAUACCUCUGGUUCUCCGAAGGUCCGGACUGAAACUAUGGCCACUGGGCGCCGGCGAAGAGAGACGGAGAAAGGGAGGGACUACAGAGAGGAGUGUUUUCUGUUGUCGAGGAUUACAGACAGGAAUUAGGAAGGAAGGUGAGUGGGAGGAAGAAGGGUUUAGAGUUAAAAUGGAUUUUGAUGCCACUUAACAAAUGAAGAUAGAUAAAAGAAAAAUAGGAGACUUGUAGAGAGACUAUUAAUAAAUAAAAGACAUGGAUUAUUAAUAAAUGAAGAUGGAUAAAAGAAAGAUAGAGUUGGUUUAUUAUUUUACAUUUAACAUUAUACUCAUUUUAUAUAUUUUUUUGUCAUUUCACACAAUCACAGCUCUUUUAUAUAAAAGUUUACCAAACACUAUCAUAUUGCUUGUUUUCUUUUCCAAAAGAACUUUUACAAAAAAAAUUUAUCAAACAUUCUGCUGUUUUAUUUCACAGCAGCUUAUUCUCAUAGCACAGCAGAAGUAGCUUAUUCUCAUAGCACAGCAGAAACAGUUUUUUCUCAUAGCAAAGCAGAAGAACCUUUUUUCAAAGCAGAGUAAUACCAAACCAGCCCUGAGACUAAUCCCAAAAACACAUUUAAUUUUCAGAUAACAAAUCUUCAUAAUCUAAAUCCACCAUAAUUACCAGGAACAAAACGCAAAUCACAAGGUGCUACAACCAUACGGUACUCGACCGAAAAUUAACCCCAUCAUUCGAUCUACAACUAAAACGAUAUUUACAGAACAGGCUACAAACAAAGGUGUCAUCUAGGUGUAUCUAACCAGACUAAAAAACAGAAGGGGGAGGAGGAGGAGGAGGAGAAGGGGGAGGAAGGGAAGGGAGGGUAAGUACCCUAACUGGAGGCGGCUGUGCAACUACAAUUUUUGAACAAAGCCUCAUCCGUCAUUAAUUUUUGGCAGACCCGAUAACAUUUCAAUCCUUCGUUACAGAUUGGUUGACCUCUGAUGUAUUAUCUUUCUGGCUUGGCGAAGGCACGGAUCCUCCUAUUUUCAACUCCCCACUUUGUUGUUGCUGCUGCUGUUGCUGUUGCGGAUGCUGAUGAUGCUGCUGCAUCUGUUGCUGCUGAAGUUGAUGGAGCUGAUGCUGCUGAAACUGGUGCUGCUGCUUCUGAGAAUGAAUCUGGAGCUGUUGAAACUGCUGUGCAGUUAGAAAAGUGUGCAUUGCUUGAUUGUUUGGACAGAACUGCUGCUGACCCGCCCCGCCAAAAGAAGCGUAGUUCAUCAUAGGUCCACCAUUUGGCAUAGCUUGGCCAGUCAUAACUUUCAGAUGCUGAAUUUCUUCUUUCAGUGCAUCGUUCAAUGCUAUGAGACAAACAAAAACAAUAUUGUUUCGGCAAGUCAAUUUCAUUCACAUAAGGACCAAGAACCAGAAGUUACAUGGAAUCGGAUCAGUGAGAAACCUAUGUUAUAGUAUUGUUCUGAUACUACACAAACAAGAUGCUACAGUCUAAUUUAUUUUUUUGGUUUCCUUUAUGUGCCAAGAUCAGAAUGAGCAAAACUUCUACUUCGGAUGCUAAUUGGCUCUAAAAAAUGAAACAUCCAAUAUGAUGGCCAGUUCACUUCAGGUCAGCCAGCAUGUUGUUUAUGGCUACUACAACGUUGAAAAUGGGCAUAAAUUCAAGGAAAAUCUUUCUUGCCCAUAUCGGUGGGGGAGGUAGACCCAGCACCGCAUUGAUUAGCAUGGAAACUAGAUCCAAUGGUUGUACACAGGCUGACUUAGAAGCAAAUAAAGAGACUAUGAACAAAAAUCUACCCAUUUGAUAGACCUUCAGUUUUUAGUUCGAAGGAAUUCGAGCUCAAAUUUUGUGAGCACUACAUUGGAUUGUAUUGCACUUGGUUUGAUGUUGUUUUGGUCGACAAUGCAAGGAUAGGAGAAACAAAGAGCAUGGCACGUAUAACUGCCCCUUCCCAUUGACCUUCUCAAAAUUGGAUCACUUAAGCAUUGGAUUGUAUUCGUUCUUCAUCUUAACUUUGUUCUACAGGCUUCCUUCCUAUGUCUAACUUAAGCAUUUAAGUUAUUCAUUUUUUUUUAAAGAUAUUUAGCUAUUUAAGUUAUUCCUUUUUUGCCUGAUGCUGAACGAGAUUUCAAAUUCGAAUUUGGGUACCUAUACAUGGUCUCACAUGGUGUGAAGAGAAUUAGCAUAUAUGCAAGUCCUCCUCCUUUUGUGGACCCGUAAAGGAUGGAAGCUUGUGUGGCUUGCUGCUAUAAAAUGGGGAGCCUUACUGCUUAGUCCCCACCCAUCUUCUCCAAGAGAAAAGACGAAGGAAAAAAAAAAAGAGCUAGUAAGGCUCCCCACCGAUCAUUCUUUUUUUAGUAACAUUAAUAUUUGCAUUUUGUUGUCUUUACCAAGCAAUUCAGAGACAUGGAAUUGGAGAGCUCUCAAGCGUCUUCGCCUCCUCCUCGUCAUGAGUCUCAAUCUGAGUAACGUAAGGAUUAAAACUCACUCCAAGAGAUGUUACAAACUCUUCAGCAAUCUGAGGCCAAUCAACAUCAGGAUAUGCAACAAGAUGAGCAUUGUAAUUUCCUACUGCACCAGCAAACUUCCCCAUGAUUUCAACCUGAGAAAUUCUGCGCCUUUGUAUGCUUAACCUGACAGCGAAAAUUGCCAUUUCCUUCCCCAAAGUGGUGGGUGAGGCAGUCUGACCGUGCGUGCGAGAAAGCAUGGGAACGGACGCGUUAUCCUUUGACAUGUCACAAAUUGCCUCAACCAACUCAUCCAUGACGGGAAACAUAACAUUGUUGAUAGCAUCUUUCAACAUCAACGCAUGAGCAAGAUUGUUGAUGUCCUCAGAUGUGCAAGCAAAAUGGAAAAACUCAAGCACCUACAAUAACAAAACAUUACACAAUUCUCAAACAUAUGAAACGAAGCUAUCAACGGGACGGUAUCAAAUAUAAAGGAGCAGCUUCAAGCUUGUUUCGGAAUUUAAAUGACUCGAUAAAGGGAUUCACCUUAGCUAUCUCUGGAUGCGAACUGCAUUUCUGUUUCAAAAAAUACUCCACUGCUUUCACAUCAUGAUUAGUAAUUUUCUCAAUCUUCUUUAUUUCCGCUGCAUCAUCGACGCUAAAUCCAUCGAUGAUUCCUUGCAAGUAAGAUUGAGCAUCUCCACUGAAACUGGGCACCUCUGUGACCUCAGGGAUUUGUGAAAGUUUCAACAGCCAUUUUAUCUGAAAUUAAGAAAAACAAUAACACCUUCAUCAAAUUCAAAAUUCAAAUAAAGAAAACGCAACAAAAAAUUACGAAAACUCGGUAGCAAAUUAAACGAAGUACCUCAACGAAAACUCUGUAGUAGAUUAGGGCAUAUUCGCUCAUAAAAGGAGCCAAUUCCUUGACUUUACCCCAAUAACGGCCGUCCAACGGCGACAAAGCCGUCAAAAUCGAAUGCCCGAUUUCGACUUUGCCGUGGCAUGUACCAUUGGUAUCUUCGAUGGCGGCUCUUAGAGAGCAGUCCAUGCGGCUCCGAGAGAGUGACAAAGAAGAAGUGUUGGAAGGACGAUGAAGGUAUGGGGCUUUGGAUGGCACAGAACUGAAGAAGCAGGAGAGUUGGUUGCAGUUCGGAGCCCUAGAAGAAAAAGAAGAGGAAGGAGAAGAGGCUCCGACGUCGAUGAAUCGGAAGGUCAUUUUGACGAGCUCGGAAAUCCCAAGGAAAAUCCCAGAAAGGGGUCUGAAAACCCUAGAUAGGUGGCGAAGAGGAUGAUGGAGGCGCGCGGUAAACACUCCGAAAACCAAAAAUUUAAUCGAUACUAAAACUAAAACACUGUUCCUAACUGACUAUUUUGCCCCUGUUUAUUUUUUAUUAGAGUAAACUGUCAUUUAACCCCCUGAACUAUCACGUGAGUUUCAAUUUUCCCUUGAACUAUUUUUUUAGCCAAUUGACCCCUUAAACUAUGUUAAAGUGGCCAAUUAACCCCCUACCGUUAAGUAUCUUUAACUCCAUCCAAUUUUCUGUUAGAAAGUGUCAUGUGCUUGGCACAUGACCACCUUUUUACAUUUUAUGUCUAAAUCUUUACAAAGAAAACAUAUAUAACAAAUAUUAAAAAAAAAAACUUACAAACCCUAAACUUAAUCAUUUAAAAUAAUAGAAAAAGUAAGGCUUUUUAUAUUAACACCCCACAAAAUGUUGAAUGCACCACAUAUUAAAAUUUAAUAUUAAAUGACUUAUUUACUCCACUAUGCAAUGACAAUUUUGACCUUAUUAGAUUUAAAAAAAAUUAUAAAUACAUCCUAAAUCACUUUUAGCGUAUUAUUUAUCUUCUUAACUAUCAAAACCCUCUCAUCCUCCAUUGUUGAACAAAAUUCUAACCAAUGAAACUACAAAUAUGUUGAUUGAGAAAAAUUGUUUUUGACGAAUGAAACACGAAAUCGAUGUUUCUGAAGCUUCACAUGAGAUAAGACUUCACAUUUUUCAUUGUUUUAGUGAUUUCGAUGACAUCGAUAAUUAUUUAAUCUUGCAUUUGCUGCAUUAUUUUUCAAUAUGAACCCUAAAAGAUGAAUAUGAAUAUGAAUAUGAAUAUAUAAGUUUAAAUAAUGCAGCAAACGCAAGAUUAAAUAAUUAUCGAUGUCAUCGAAAUCACUAAAACAAUGAAAAAUGUGAAGUCUUACCUCAUGUGAAGCUUCAAAAACAUCGAUUUCGUGUUUCAUUCGUCAAAAACAAUUUUUCUCAAUCAACAUGUUUGUAAUUUCAUUGGUUAGAGUUUUGUUCAACAAUGUAGGAUGAGAGGGUUUUGAUAGUUGAGAAGAUAAAUAAUACGCUAAAAGAGAUUUGGGGUGUAUUUAUAAUUUUUUUUAAACCUAAUAAGGUCAAAAUUGUCAUUACAUAAAUAAGUCAUUUAAUAUUAAAUUUUAAUAUGGGGUGCAUUCAACAUUUUAUGGGGUGUUAAUAUAAAAAGUCUUACCUUUUCUAUUAUUUUGAAUGAUUAAGUUUAGGGUUUGUAUGUUUUUUGUUUUAAUAUUUGUUUUAUAUGUUUUCUUUGUAAAGAUUUAGACAUAAAAUGUAAAAAGGUGGUCAUGUGCCAAGCACAUGACACUUUCUAAUAGAAAAUUUGAUGGAGUUAAAGAUACUUAACGGUAGGGGGUUAAUUGGCCACUUUAACAUAGUUUAGGGGGUCAAUUGGCUGAAAAAAUAGUUCAGGGAGGAAAUUGAAACUCACGUGAUAGUUCAGGGGGUUAAAUGACAGUUUACUCUUUUUUAUUAUUGCGUUUCUGCCAUUGCCUGAGAUAAUAUAUAUACAUUAUAUUAUUUUUUUAUUUUUUCUUAUUCUCGCUUUUCUCUUUUCCCUCUCGCUGUUCUCCCCCGAGUGCGGUUCACCGUCAAACUGCUAAACGAGAAAACCAAAACAUCACCAAUUGCAUUUGCUUCUUAAACCGUUAACGAAAAAUUAAAUUUUUAUAUUAAAAAAUUAAUUUUGGUACUAUUUAUUUUACUUUUUAUUUUGUUAUUAUCGUUAAAACUCAAAAUUUUCAAAUCAUUUUCAUUAUUUUUUCUUUUAAAUAAUGACUCCUUGCCCAUUCUCCUAAUUUUAGAAAAAAAAGAAGCAUUUAAUUUUUCUAAUUGUGUGGUUUACUAUUUACUAUUCAGCAAAAUUUAUGUAACUUCUGGAAAGUAGUGCCAUCAUUCUUUUUGAGGAGAAAUUUUUAGUUGUGACGGAAACACGGGUGAUACAUCACGUGUUUUUAUGUAAGUGGUGAGAAAUUUUAUUUUUUAAGUUAUUAACUUUUUAACACACAUAUUCCACAAUUUAUAUAACAACAUGUGAUGUACUAUUCCUUGUGACGGUCACAUUGAAAAAUCUCUCAUCUCUCCAGUAUAUGAACCUUUUCGAUUUUCCGUUUUGCUUUAUGAUUUCCUUAUUAAAAGUAAACUAAAUUAUUUAUGGUUGAGUUAUGGUAAUAUAUGUUAAGUUUCUGAAGCCCCAACUGUUUAUUUGUUUUCAUUUUUCUAUUGAUAGAGAAAUAUAAUCAACAAGGAAACAUAGAUAAGAAAUUCAUCAAGUUAAGAAAAAGUCGGAUGGGUAUGUAUGUGGGUAUUAUAUAGUGGAAUUGGAUCCUCUCCGGAUCCUAAUAAUCUGAGCUUAAUGAUCAUUUGAUCCGGAUUGUUGAAAUUUGUUUCACCGGCUACAAUUAUUAUAAUUUUUAGAGAGGUCCCUUGUUUGUAACCGUUGGAUCAAAUUUCAACAAUUUGGAUCAUUUGAUCCUUGUGCUCAGAGUCUUCAUAAUGAUUCUGUGUUGAACUAAUCAAAUGGUGGUUGGAGUUUGAUUUCACAAAAAUGCUUUGAAAGGUUUUCUGUUGGGAUUUAAUAAUUUCAUUCCACAUGCUAUUGUGUCACUCAGUGUCAUCAUUUGGGACAAAUUUAUGGAAAUUUUUGUGACUUGAUGCACAUGUAUUUUCCCUUAUAUUGUCAUUGUUGUGAUGUUUUGAAUGCACGAAAAGUGGAGAUGACAAUUGUUGUUGUCCUUUAUGUUUAGAGCAAGUGGAGAUGGAUCUUUGGAUAAAAAGAAAAAGGGUAAAAGACUGUUUACUACCCUCAUGUUUUGUGGUUUUCAACAUUUAGUACAUCAAGUUUUUUUCGUCUCAGAUUCAUACAUAAAGUGUAAAUUUUGGGACAGUCUCAUACAUCCGUUAGUCAAACUGUUAAAUCUGCCGUUAAUUGUGAUGUGGUGCCCAUGUGGACAAGGACUGGGCGCCACGUAUCAGCCACGUUUUUUUUUCUUUCUUCUUUCUUCUUUCUUCUUCCUUCUUCCUUCUUCUUCUUCCAUUUGACUGCAACUUUUUUUUUCUUCCUCCUUCUUCUUCCUCCUUCCUCCUCCUUCUCCUCCCUUAUUCUUCCUUCUUUCUUCUUCCUUCUUCCUUCCUCCUCUUCUUCUUCUUCCUCCAAAUCUGCCCAGAUUCAGUUUUUUUUUUCUUCCUCCUUCUUCUUCUUCUUCCUUCCUCUUCUUCUCCUUCUUCCUUCUUCUUCCUCCGAAUCUGGGCAAGAUGAAGGUUUUUUUUUUUUUUUUGGUGAGGAAGAUGAAGAAGAAGGAAGAAGGAGAAGAAGGGGGAGAAGAAGGAAGGAAGAAGGAGAGGAAGAAGGAGGAAGAAGAAGAAAGAAGAAAAAAAAAUUCAUCUUCCCCAGAUUCAGAAGAAGAAGGAAGAAGAGAAAAAAAAAACUUUUAGUCAGAGGAAGAAGAAAAAAGAAGAAAAAAGAAAAGAAAAAAACCGAAUCUGGGCAGAUUCGGAAGAAGAAGAAGAAAAAGAAGAAGAAGGAGGAAGGAGAAGGAAGAAGGAGGAAGAAGAAAAAAAAAAACUUCCCCAGAUUCGAGGAAGAAGAAGAAGAAGAAGAAGAAGGAGAAGGAGGAAGAACAAAAAAAGUUGCAAUUGGAGGAAGAAGAAGAAGAAGAAGAAGAAUGAAGAAGAAAGAAGAAAGAAGAAAGAAGAAAAAAAAAAGAAAAAAAAACGUGGCUGACACGUGGUGCCCAGUCAUUGUCCACAUGGGCGCCACGUCACAAUUAACGGCAGAUUUAACAGUUUGACUAAUGGAUGUAUGAGACUGUCCCAAAAUUUACACUUUAGGUAUGAAUCUAAGACGAAAAAAACUUGAUGUACUAAAUGUUGAAAACCACGAAACAUGAGGGUAGUAAACAGUCUUUUACCCAAAGAAAAAUUAGCACAACUACUUCAGUAUUCCAUUUCAAUAAUUUGCAUUUAAUUUUUCAAGUGUUUUACACGUAGAGAGAUGAGUUGUGUACUCUGAGUUCGCUGGAUCAUUUUUAUGAGGAUUCAGAGAAUCCCGUGAUCGUGUCCGUUCUGAUCACACGAUGUAUGAUGAACAGACACGAUCACGGGAUCUCCCAAAUCCCCAGAAAAAACAAUCCGGCUAGGAUCCUUUUCCCUUGAGUAUCAGAUUUUGUUCCCUAGACUUUAGUUGUGUUGAAGUUGUGAUUGUUUUAAGUUUAGAUUUCUAUUUACUCUCAGUUUGGUUUAGAGAAAUUAUUUAUUUAUUAGUAUUUGACUCGUAUCCCAAUUCUUUCCUUUGGCCCUUUGACCCUCUCAAUCUCUUUUUUUUCUUCUCUUUUUCCGAUUUUGAUAAUUAUCUAGGUGGAAUUUGUGAUUGAAUUUUGUUGAAUUUUUUUAUUUAAUUUAAUCAGUAAUUUUUGUAAAAUACGCAGGAGAGUUCGAAGUCAAAUAGGGGUAAGCACAUAUUAAGCUUAUGUAUCUCAAUGUGAUUGUUUGUAGAUUUCCUACGAGUUUAUGAUUGUAUUAAAUCGUUUAUGUAAUACACAUAAAGUAUUCUCCCUUGUAUGUAAAUAGUACUAUAUACAAAAUCUUCCUACGGUUUCUUUUUAAUCUUGCAAUAUCGCGCGGGCAUUGUGACAACAUGUCCUUACCUUUACAAUUUUAUAAAAUUUAAAAUAGUGAUUUUACGAAAAAUGCCCCUAGAGGAAAAACUUUGACUUUCGUUGACCAUCGGUUAGAGAGACGUAGGACUCAUUUUUUUAGCGUAUCCUCGUAGUACUUGUCACUACGAGCGCAUAGGCGGAAACCGUUCGCGAGUCUGGAUUAUAACGGUAUAGUUACAUACGUUUGAAAUUGGUUAUUUAAAGUUUAGUUAAAUAAAUUGAACUCCCAUCUUAUGGGAAAGAAACCAAUCAUAUUUAAGAAAGAAAAUAAGGGACCAAUCGGUUAAUGAAGGGGGACCAAUCAGAAAUUGAGGGGUGAGAGAGGGCCAAUGGGCUGAAGACAGAGAAGCUCCCAGCCUUCACUUUCCUGUCUACCCAUCCCUGUGACCUCCCAUUUUUCGUCACCGAUUCCAAUCAACUCCAGCGGAAUUUUUCGACGCCACCACCACCAUCUUGAAGCUUUCACUCCCCUCUACAAACCCUAAACAAGAACCACCUUGAUUAACCUCUGUACGCCCAUUGGCCUUGAUUAACCUUGAUUAACCUCUGUACGCCCAGCGGAAUUUUGGCUUCAAAACCGCACCGAAUUGUACAACAAAAAGUUUCAGUUUCGGUUGCGGUUUCACUUGAAACUAAUCCCGAAAACACAUUUAAUUUUCAGAUAACAAAUCUUCAUAACCUAAAUCCACCAUAAUACCAGGAACAAAACACAAAUCACAAGGUGCUACAACUAUACGGUACUCGAUCUACAACUAAAAUGAUAUGUAUAGAACAGGCUACAAACAAAGGUGUCAUCUAGGUGUAUCUAAAACCAGACUCAAAAACAGAAGGGGGAGGAGGAGGAGGAGGAGGGGGAGGAAUGGAAGGGAGGGUAAGUCCUAACUGGAGGCAUCUGUGCAACUACAAUUUUUGAACAAUACUUCAUCCGUCUUUAAUUUUUGGCAGAUCCGAUAACAUUUCAAUCCUUCGUUACAGAUUGGUUGACCUCUGAUGUAUUAUCUUUCUGGCUUGGCGAAGGCACGGAUCCUCCUACUUUCAACUCCCCACUUUGUUGUUGCUGCUGCUGUUGCUGUUGCGGAUGCUGGUGAUGUAUUUUCUUUCUGUAUGUUUAUUGCCCUGUAGCUCUGUCUUUUCCAUUUGAUGGUGUCUUGUUACAUUGCGAUUCAUGAUGAUGAUUUAAUUGUUUCUCGAUUUGCAAUAAGGGAGAUAAUUGGUGGCAAGUCAUGGUCAUCCACCCCUUCCAGGAGCCGAGAAGACUCACAAAAGCAUUUCAGCCUCCCAUGGUCACAAGUUUGGCUUCCAUACUAGCAGCAGGUUUCGAACCCAAGACCUUCCGUUUUUAGUUUGAAGGAAUUCGAGCUCAAAUUUUGUGAGCACUACAUUGGAUUGUAUGGCACUUGGUUAGAUGUUAUUUUGGUCGACAAUACAAAGAUCGGAGAAACAAAGAGGAGGGCACAUAUAACUGCCCCUCCCCAUUGACCUUCUCAAAUUUGGAUCACUUAAGCAUUAGAUUGUAUUCAUUCUUCAUCUUAACUUUGUUCUGCAGGCUUCCUUCCUAGGGAUAACUUAAGCAUUUAAGUUAUUCAUUUUUUUCUAAUUAUUUUUAUAAUAUUUUAUUUUUAAAGAUUCAAAACUUAUUAUUAUUUUAUUUUAUUUUAUUUAUUUAUAAUAUUUAAGAGUUGUGUUUUAUUUGAAGAGUCAUAUUCCUUUUAAAAGGGUAUGAGAAGUUCUUUAAAUAAAAAACCUCAGACAGAAAACAUAAUACGCUAAACUUUUAUGUCUCCCUCAAUUCUCACAUCUCUCUCGGUCUAUUUACAUUCCUACUUCAUAAUUCUUGGGCAAUUGAUCACUACUUGGCAAUCCCGUUUGCCGUUGGCGUGCAUAUCGGAUCAGACAUCCUGUGAAGCUUUGGGUUGUAUCUUGGAGUUGUAGGCACCGCCAUAACCUGCACAUAGGGAGGGGUCUACGGCUUUAGGGCAGCGACAUCACGCCUCUCUUUGGUUCACAUGCCAGAUUUUCUUAUUCCUUAUUCCUAAUUUAAGUUUGAUAGUGAUUAUACAUUUGAUUUGAUAUAUUUCAUAUAAAUAAUUGGUAUAUUUCUGCAAUAUAUUUCACAAUUUAACUAUUUAAGUUAUUCUUUUUUUUGCCUGAACGAGAUUUCAAAUUCGAAUUCUGAUACCUAUUAUACAUGGCCCCAUAUGGUGUGAAGAGAAUAAGCAUAUAUGCAAGUCCUCCUCCUCUUAUGGACUCGUAAAGGAUGGAAGCUUGUGCGAGUUGUUAUAAAAUGGGAAGCCCUACUGCUUACUCACCACCCAUCUUCUCCAAGAGAAAAGAAGAGAAAAAAAAAAGGAGCCAGUAAGGCUUCCCACACAUCAUUCUUUUUUUAGUAACAUUAAUAUUUGCAUUUGGUUGUCUUUACCAAGCAAUUCAGAGACAUGGGAUCAGAGAGCUCUCAGCCGUCUUCUCCUCCUCCUCCUCCUCCUCCUCCUCCUCCUUCACGUGGAGGUGAAGAACCACCCAAAAACUGUCCGGUGGAUUAUAGUUUAUUAAAUUUAGUAGAUAAGGAUGAUAAGCAGUGUUGGAAACCAGAAAGGCUCGACGACCACAUGACUGCUCUACACAGUAAAAGGCUGCCCAUAGGCAAAUGGUGAAGUGGUUCAUACAUAGGACGUCUUAUAUAUCGCGGUCUGCUGUCAACUAAUAACAUCAAUAUUAUUAUUAUGUAUAAUAAUUAAGCUAUUCCAUUAAAGUUCUAUAUAUGUACUUCCACAAUCCAGAGCUUAGCAGACCUGGUAUGUAUUUGUAAUUUUAGUGUGUGUAUAUAUAUAUUGAGCUCUUAAGAAGAAGAAAAAUCGAUAACUCGCUAGAUUUACUGCACAUUAUUGAAACAAGAAAUAACCGUCAACUUUAAAAUCUUGCAUGGAGAGAGAGUACCGGUUGUCGCGUGCACGUUUCAGCGUUUACUCGUGUAUUUUGGUUUCCGAUCGUGCCCCUACCCAGCUCUCUCCAGUCUCCACCAAGCUUUUUGCCAUUUUCAACUCAUUUUUUUUCUUCAUGCAAACUAAAGCCAAUAUUUACACUAACUAUUUUACGCUUGUUCAGGAGUUGGUAAGGUGCACCCGGAAUAGAAUACAACUCGUUUGAUAAUUAUUUUAAAGCAAGGCUUAGUAAUUAUUUCGUUUUAGGUUUUAGUUAUAAACUUUUACUUUUCGUGCUUAAGAAAUAAAAUGUGUAUUGAUGAAAAAGGGUGGUGAGAGCAACGGUGGGAAGAGAUAUUAAAAAAAAAAAUGAAUAAAAAAAAAUUCAAGAUUUUGAAAAGAACUUAAAAAUAGUUUUUUUAUUUUUUGUUUCAGUUUUCAAUUUCUUCACCCUUUUCUUAUAUAUUUUUUUUCUACGUCUACCAUCACCAUCCUUCCUAAAGUUUGGUGCCUACAAUGGAAGAUUUGCAGUCUUAUAAAUAUUCUUUUUCACGGCUAAUUCAUCUUUUACACUUAAUAAUUACGAAAUUUAAAAUUAUCCUAUAUUUCUGCAAUUAAAAUUUAAAAAUUAUCCAAUACAAUCCAAUCUUGAGUACAAAAACGAUUAUGCGUUUCAUUGACAAAGUCCAUUUGACGUCAGGUGAAAUCAUGAUGCUAUAUUGUGUGGGGGUUUUUGAUCACUCUCAAUUGCAUCGUAAUUGAGUGGCAGGCAAUAUCGUUUUGGGAUUAUAAGGAAUAUAUGCUGCAAGGAGUUGACGUGACAAGCAAGCAAUUUAGUGAGUGGUGCUAAAUCAUCAAGAAUAAAAGUUAACAGACUUAAGUAUAGUUUGGCAUUGAGUUGCUUAAAAAAAAAGCUGCUUAUUUUCAAAGUUUUUACGUUGAAGGUGUUUAGUAAACUAUAAAAAAAACAUUAUUUUAGAAGUUGUUGUGAGAAUAAGCUAAAAUCUUCAAAAAGGCUGAAGCAGCUAAAUGCUGCAUUGGAAAACUGAUUUUUUUUCAAACCGCGUGGAGCUACAGUGCUUUUAAAGUUCAAUAACAUCCUCAAACCAGAAAUGGUGCUCCUUUGCCGAUCUCCACAAAACCCAGAAACCCACCAGAAACAACUUUGCUGAUCUGCACAAGAAAUGGAAACACACCCAGAAACCCACCAGACUACCAUAGCCAAAACCAGAAACGAUUUUCCUUUGCCGAUCUGUGUGCUAAACUAGCCUUAACUUUCUAAGACAUUGGAUACAAACAUCAAAACCCAAAAGCCAAAAAUUGAAUAAAUAUCAGCUUUAAGAUUUCACCGCCAUCAAUUCUAUAAUUUGAUUAAACACAAUUCCAGAAAAAUAAACAAUCUGAGCCACUAAAAGCUUGAAACUUUAUCGAUUUUGGAAAAGUCGAAAAGAAAUCGUGGGCAAUUUGGGUUAAAAACUAAAUACCUCUGGUUCUCCGAAGGUCCGGACUGAAACUAUGGCCAUUGGGCGUCGGUGAAGAGAGACGGAGAAAGGGAGGGACUACAGAGAGGAGUGUUUUCUGUUGUCGAGGAUUACAGACAGGAAUUAGGAAGGAAGGUGGUGGGAGGAAGAAGGGUUUAGAGUUAAAAUGGGUUUUGAUGCCACUUAACAAAGGUGUUUUCUUAAUUAUUGAUUUAUUAAAUAAUAAACUAAAUUUAAAAAUCUGAUUAAUUCAAAUGAUAUGGCUGUCCACAUCAUAUGCCACCUAAGGUGGUAUAGAAAUGUGGUAUAAAACAUGGUAUGAAUAGCAUUACUCAAAAAAAAUAGGAAGACUUCUAGAGAGACUAUUAAUAAAUAAAAGACAUGGAUUAUUAAUAAAUGAAGAUGGAUAAAAGGAAGAUAGGGCUGGUUUAUUAUUUUACAUUUAACAUUAUACUCAUUUUAUAGUUUUUUUGUCAUUUCACACAGUCACAACUGUUUUAUAUAAAAGUUUACCAAACACUACCAUACUGCUUUUUUUUUUCCAAAAGAACUUUUUACAAAAAAAAAUUUACCAAACACUCUGCUACUUUAUUUCACAGCAGCUUAUUCUCAUAGCACAGCAGAAACAACUUAUUCUCAUAACACAGCAGAAACAGCUUAUUAUCAUAGCACAACAGAACAGUUGUUUUUCAAAGCACAGCAGAAACAAUUUUUUUUAAAGCACAGCAAUAUCAAACCAACCCUGAGAGACUAAUCCCAAAAACACAUUUAAUUUUCAGAUAACAAAUUUUCAUAAUCUAAAUCCACCAUAAUUACCAGUAACAAAACACAAAUCACAAGGUGCUACAACCAUACGGUACUCGACAGAAAAUUAACCCCAUCAUUCGAUCUACAACUAAAACGAUAUGUACAGAACAGGCUACAAACAAAGGUGUCAUCUAGGUGUAUCUAACCAGACUCAAAAAACAGAAGGGGGAGGAGGAGGAGGGGGAGGAAGGGAAGGGAGGGUAAGUACCCUAACUGGAGGCGGCUGUGCAACUACAAUUAUUGAACAAUGCCUCGCAUCCGUCUUUAAUUUUUGGCAGACCCGAUAACAUUUCAAUCCUUCGUUACAGAUUGGUUGACCUCUGAUGUAUUAUCUUUCUGGCUUGGCGGAGGCACGGAUUCUCCUAUUUUCAACUCCCCACUUUGUUGUUGCUGCUGCUGUUGCUGUUGCUGAUGAUGCUGCUGCAUCUGUUGCUGCUGGAGUUGAUGGAGCUGAUGCUGCUGAAACUGGUGCUGCUGCUUCUGAGAAUGAAUCUGGAGCUGUUGAAACUGCUGUGCAGUUAGAAGAGUGUGCAUUGCUUGAUUGUUUGGAUAGAACUGCUGCUGACCCGCCGCGCCAAAAGAAGCGUAGUUCAUCAUAGGUCCACCAUUUGGCAUAGCUUGGCCAGUCAUAACUUUCAGAUGCUGAAUUUCUUCUUUCAGUGCAUUGUUCAAUGCUACGAGACAAACAAAAACAAUAAUGUUUCGGCACAAUUUCAUUCACAUAAGGAUCAAGAACCAGAAGUUACACGGAAUCCGAUCAGCAAGAAAACCUAAAUUAUAGUAUUGUACUGAUACUACACAAACAAGAUGCUACAGUCUAAUUUGAGCAAAACUUCUACAUCGGAUGCUAAUUGGCUCUAAAAAUUAACCAUCCAAUACGAUGGCCAGUCCACUUCAGGUUAGCCAGCAUGUUGUUUAUGGCCUACUACAACAUUGAAAAUGGGCAUAAAUUCAAGGAAAAUCGUUCUUGUCGACAUCGGUGGGGGAGGCAUACCCAGCACCGCUUUGAUUAGCCACAGGAAACUAGAUCCAAUGACUGUACACAGGCUAUGAAUUAGAAGCAAAUAGAGAGACUAAGAACAAAAAUCUACUCAUUUGAUAGACAAGCAGUAAAAUGGUCAAGGCAAGUCUACAUUUACAGCUCAGUAAUAAAAGCCAAAAACACAUAAACCUCUCCGACUAAACAUUCAUCAUAAAGAUGCCAACUCAUGCAAUAUAAAUUUAAAAACACUAAUUUAGUACCUUCUGGAUAAGUUGAAGAAACAAUCAAAUCAAAUCAUAAACUAGUUUAGCACAUAAUUUAGUACCAUCUGGAUAAUUUGAAUAAACAAUCAAAUCAUAAACUCAUUGUGCAAUAGGAAAUGCCGAGGAACCAAAGUUCUUUUGCCGAAUCUUAUAACGUAGACUAUAAUAAAUUAGGUAUUUGGUAAAAGCAUAUGGUGCAAAAAGUCUUCAUCAACCAAAAUCAGAAUUAGCAACCAAUUUUUAUUCUGAGUUAGCAGCAGGAAACAAUGUCUGCCAACUUAACUUAUGGCAUCUUGGAUUCUAAUCUAACAAAAAAUCAAGUAUAUGUAUGCUAGCAUCUACUUAUUGGAUCGUCCAUUACGUACAAAGUUAUUGUGUGUCAGCGUGCUUGUAUCAUGCUUAAUUUCUCCUUUCAGCCAAUGACCACAGACAAUUCAAUAAAAUUAAGGAAAGAAAUAGAUUAUAUGAAAAUUAAUUCUAAUCAUGAAAAUUAUGUACAUUGUUUGCAAACGCAGUUUCAGUUCACUGUUCUCAGCAGUCAGACCAUUUGUAUCUCUCUGCUCAUAAAGAAAUCCAUAAGAAUAAUCGCUUGUAUCUCGUUAUGUAAGCUAGAUCAAACAGUCAUGUGAGUAGUGAAGUGAAAACGAAGGGAAUCAUAAGCAAAGACAUUCAUCUAAUCAGUCCAAUAAAGAGAACCUGGUCUAAUAAAGGAAUGGGUUAAGUGAAAUUUACCUGCAAGAGAGUCAAUUGAGCAGACAAGGAUGUUGCUUCUGUUUGCAACGUCUGGACUUUCUGUUCAAGCUCAGCAAUAUCUCGCAUUUUCCUUUCUUUUGACCUUGCAGCUGAAUGCCUAUUAGCCCGGAUCCUAAUGCAUGUCAACCAAAGGUAAAAUAUUAAGCAUAAUAGUUGAAGCAACGGGGCAAAACAAGGAGACAACGAACUCUUUUAUUUUCAUUUAAGAAGGGAAAAUGAAGAAGGGCAAAAACUAGAAAGCACCAAAGAAAAUCAGAUCCACUUCAAGGGUAACAAGAUGUCACAGGUGCAUUGUUGGAUUGUAUUGCACUUGGUUUGAUGUUAUUUUAGUCGACAAUGCAAAGAUUGGAGAAACAAAGAGGAUGGCACAUAUAACUGCCCCUCACCAUUGACCUUCUCAAAUUUGGAUCACUUAAGCAUUGGAUUGUAUUCAUUCUUCAUGUUAACUUUGUUCUGCAGGCUUCCUUCCUAUGGCUAACUUAAGCAUUUGAGUUAUUCUUUUUUUUUUCAAAGAUAUUUAGCUAUUUAAGUUUUUUUUUUGCCUGAUGUUGAACGAGAUUUUAAAUUCGAAUUAUGGUACCUAUUAUACAUGGCCGCACAUGGUGUGAAGAGAAUGAGCAUAUAUGCAAGUCCUCUUGUGGACCCGUAAAGGAAUGGGAAGCCCUACUGCUUAGUCCCCACCCAUCUUCUGCAAGAGAAAAGAAGAGAAAAAAACAAAUAGAGCCAGUAAGGCUCCCCACCCAUCAUUCUUUUUUUAGUAACAUUAAUAUUUGCAUUUGGUUGUCUUUACCAAGCAAUUCAGAGACAUGGGAUCGGAGAGCUUUCAGCCGUCUUCUCCUCCUCCUCCUCCAUGUGGAGGUGAAGAACCACCCAGAAACUGGCCGGUGGAUACUAAUUCAUCAAAUUUAGUACGUAAGGAUGAUAAGCAGGAUGGGAAACGAGACACCCCCUCCUACAUAUGCAGUAAAAGGCAACCCAGAGGCAAAUGGUGAAGUGGUUCAUACAUAGGACGUCUUGUAUAUCGCGGUCUGCUGUCAACUAAUAACAUCAAUAUUAUUAUUAUGAAUAAUAAUUAAGCUCUUCCAUUAAAGUUCUAUAUAUGUACUUCCAGAAUCCAGAGCUUUGUUAUGUUUGUCCCCUAGCAGACAUGGCAUGUAUUUGUAAUUUUAGUGAAUUUUAAUUUUAGUGUGUGUGUCUGUGUCUCUGUGUGUGUGUAGAGCUCUUAAGAAGAAGGAAAAUAGAUCACUCACUAGAUUUAUUGUACAUUAUUGAAACAAGAAAUGAACGUCAACAUUAAAAUCUUGCAUGGAGAGAGAAAGUAUCGGCUGUCACGUGUGCGUUUCAGCAUUUACUCGUGUAUUUUGGUUUCCGAUCUUGCCCCUACCCAGCUCUCUCCAGUCUCCACCAAGCUUUUUGCCAUUUUCAUCUCUUUUUUUUUCAUGCAAACUAAAGCCAAUAUUUACGCUAACUAUUUUACACUUGUUCGGGAGUUGGUAAGUUGCACUAGGAAUAGAAUACAACUCGUUUGAUAAUUAUUUUAAAGCAAGGCUCAUUUAGUAAUGAUCUCGUUUUAGGUUUUAGUUAUAAACUUGAAACUCGUUUGAAUGUGCUUUUAAAAUGACUAAAAACGUUUUUGAUGAAAAUAUUUUUUAAAACAAUUCUUAGUAAAAAUGUUAGUAAAUUCUGGAAAAACACUUAAAGUGUUUCCUGGGAGAAAAACAUAACUGAUACUUCUGGUAGAAAUGACUUAAGAUGCUUUUGAAACCCAAAAACAUUUUCUCUAAAAACCCUUUCAGUCAAAUUAAAAAUACAUCCAAACGAGCCAUUUUACUUUUCGUGCUUAAGAUAUAAAAUGUAUAUUGAUGAAAAAGGGUGGUGAGAGCAACGGUGGGAAGAGAUAAAAAAAAAUGAAUAAAAACAAAUUCAAGAUUUUGAAAGGAACUUAAAAUAGUUUUUUAUUUUUUGUUUCAGUUUUCAAUUUCUUCGCCUUUUAUUAUAUAUUUCUUCUACGUCUACCAUCACCACUUCCUCAAGUUGGGUGCCUACAACCGAAGAUUUGCAGUUUUGUAAAUAUGUUUUUUGACAACUAAUUCAUCUUUUACCCUUAACUUGUAAAAAAUUUAAACUUAUCCUAUAUUUUUGCAAUUAAAUUUUAAAAUUAUUCUAUAUCUUGGACAAAGUCCAUUUGAGGUCAGGUGAAAUCAUGAUGCUAUAUUGUGUGGUGGUUUUGAUCACUCUCGAUUGCAUCGUAAUUGAGUGGAGGGCGAUAUCGUUGUGGAUUAUAAGGAAUAUAUGCUGCAAGGAGUUGACGUGACAAGCAAGCAAUGUAGUGAGUGAUGCUAAAUCAUCAAGAAUAAAAGUUGACAGACCGAGACUAAACCCAAAAACACAUUUAAUUUUCCGAUAACAAAUCUUCAUAAUCUAAAUCCACCAUAAUAACCAGGAACAAAACACAAAUCACAAGGUGCUACAACCAUACGGUACUCAACCGAAAAUUAACCCCAUCAUUCGAUCUACAACUAAAACGAUAUGUACAGAACAGGCUACAAACAAAGGUGUCGUCUAGGUGUAUCUAACCAGACUCAAAAACAGAAGGGGAAGGAGGAGGAGAAGGGGGAGGAAGGGAAGGGAGGGUAAGUACCCUAACUGGAGGCGGCUGUGCAACUACAAUUUUUGAACAAUGCCUCAACCGUCUUUAAUUUUUGGCAGACCCGAUAACAUUUCAAUCCUUCGUUACAGAUUGGUUGACCUCUGAUGUAUUAUCUUUCU